UACGUAGGUGGCGAGCGUUGUCCGGAAUUACUGGGUGUAAAGGGAGCGUAGGCGGGAAAGCAAGUCAGAAGUGAAAACUAUGGGCUCAACCCAUAGCCUGCUUUUGAAACUGUUUUUCUUGAGUGAGUCAGAGGCAAGCGGAAUUCCCAGUGUAGCGGUGAAAUGCGUAGAUAUUGGGAGGAACACCAGUGGCGAAGGCGGCUUGCUGGGGCUUUACUGACGCUGAGGCUCGAAAGCGUG
This 240-nucleotide ribosomal RNA is filed under the name uncultured bacterium. RNAcentral's name for it is "partial 16S ribosomal RNA". It matches the Rfam family "Bacterial small subunit ribosomal RNA", at positions 524 to 763 of the family's 1533-position model. The record is from RNAcentral.